AAUCAACGCUGGCGGCGUGCCUCAGACAUGCAAGUCGAACGCGAAAGUUCCCUUCGGGGAGCGAGUAGAGUGGCGCACGGGUGAGUAACACGUAGGUAAUUUGCCUUUGGGUGGGGAAGUAACUCAGGGAAACUUGAGCUAAUACCGCAUAAUGCAGCGGCUCGACAGUCGAGACAGUUGUUAAAGCGGGGGAUUGGAGCAAUCCGACCUCGCGCCUAAAGAGAAGCCUGCGGCAGAUUAGCUAGUUGGUAAGGUAAUGGCUUACCAAGGCGACGAUCUGUAACCGGCCUGAGAGGGCGGUCGGGUCACACUGACACUGACAUACGGGUCAGACUCCUACGGGAGGCAGCAGUCGGGAAUUUUGGGCAAUGGCGCAGGCCUGACCCAGCAACGCCGCGUG
This 400-nucleotide ribosomal RNA is filed under the name uncultured bacterium. RNAcentral describes it as "bacterial SSU rRNA". It matches the Rfam family "Bacterial small subunit ribosomal RNA", at positions 32 to 403 of the family's 1533-position model. The record is from RNAcentral.